GGUUUCAGCAGCCGCGGUAAUACGUAGGGUGCGAGCGUUAUCCGGAAUUAUUGGGCGUAAAGAGCUCGUAGGCGGUUUGUCGCGUCUGUCGUGAAAGUCCGGGGCUUAACCCCGGAUCUGCGGUGGGUACGGGCAGACUAGAGUGCAGUAGGGGAGACUGGAAUUCCUGGUGUAGCGGUGGAAUGCGCAGAUAUCAGGAGGAACACCGAUGGCGAAGGCAGGUCUCUGGGCUGUAACUGACGCUGAGGAGCGAAAGCAUGGGGAGCGAACAGGAUUAGAUACCCUGGUAGUCCAUGCCGUAAACGUUGGGCACUAGGUGUGGGGACCAUUCCACGGUUUCCGCGCCGCAGCUAACGCAUUAAGUGCCCCGCCUGGGGAGUACGGCCGCAAGGCUAAAACUCAAAGGAAUUGACGGGGCCCGCACAAGCGGCGGAGCAUGCGGAUUAAUUCGAUGCAACGCGAAGAACCUUACCAAGGCUUGACAUGUUCUCGAUCGCCGUAGAGAUACGGUUUCCCCUUUGGGGCGGGUUCACAGGUGGUGCAUGGUUGUCGUCAGCUCGUGUCGUGAGAUGUUGGGUUAAGUCCCGCAACGAGCGCAACCCUCGUUCCAUGUUGCCAGCACGUCGUGGUGGGGACUCAUGGGAGACUGCCGGGGUCAACUCGGAGGAAGGUGAGGACGACGUCAAAUCAUCAUGCCCCUUAUGUCUUGGGCUUCACGCAUGCUACAAUGGCCGGUACAAUGGGUUGCGAUACUGUGAGGUGGAGCUAAUCCCAAAAAGCCGGUCUCAGUUCGGAUUGGGGUCUGCAACUCGACCCCAUGAAGUCGGAGUCGCUAGUAAUCGCAGAUCAGCAACGCUGCGGUGAAUACGUUCCCGGGCCUUGUACACACCGCCCGUCAAAC
Molecule: ribosomal RNA, 901 nt
Filed under: uncultured bacterium
Lineage: Bacteria
Description: bacterial SSU rRNA
Rfam family: Bacterial small subunit ribosomal RNA
Source: RNAcentral